Molecule: long non-coding RNA, 32211 nt
Filed under: Phaseolus vulgaris (common bean)
Lineage: Eukaryota; Viridiplantae; Streptophyta; Magnoliopsida; Fabales; Fabaceae
Description: long non-coding RNA (PVUL_LNC000922)
Source: RNAcentral
CAGGGCUUGGAAAUGGAAAGGUUGGAAAGCAAACCUUUUUGGAGAAACAUCUUCCUUCGUUACCAAACUUGGGAGAUAGACAAGAUGCAUUCAAUGUUUAUUUUGAAUGGGAUGAGAAUUUUGGAAUUCCAGAAGCAUUUUACAUCAAAAACUUUAUGCAAUCUGAGUUUUUUCUUGUGAGUCUCACUCUUGAAGACAUUCCCAAUCAUGGAACCAUUCACUUUGUUUGCAAUUCAUGGGUCUACAACGCUAAGUCUUACAAAAGGGAUCGCAUUUUCUUUGCUAAUAAGGUAAGUAACUUUCUACCUACCAAAGCAAGCAACUUAUGAAAUUCAAAAUUUUCCCUUAACUUUCAUAUAAUUUAGCUAGCUCAUUUUCUUCCCACUGUGUAAAUGAAAAACAUGGUUAAAUGUGUUGCAGACAUAUCUUCCAAAUGAAACUCCAGCUUCACUGGUAAAGUACAGAAAAGAAGAGUUGGAAAAUCUUAGAGGAGAUGGAACGGGGGAGCGCAAGGAAUAUGACAGGAUCUAUGAUUAUGAUGUUUAUAAUGAUUUGGGCAACCCAGACAAGAACAAGAAUUUAGCUCGUACUACUCUUGGAGGGUCUAGUGACUUUCCCUACCCUCGCAGGGGAAGAACUGGUAGAAAAUCAACAAGGAAAGGUUAGGAUUAUGUUUUCUAUUUUCAACAAAAUGUUUCAUAUGUUUUUGGUAACAUAUGUAGAGAUGUUGUGCAUUAUGACAUAUAAAUUCAUUUUGUUUUUGAAAACUGUGGUGAGUUCUCACUGCUGUUACUAAUUUCAAUUUUGUUUAACUUUUAAUAGACCCUAAGUGUGAGAUACCAACCAGUGACACCUACAUUCCAAGAGAUGAAAACUUUGGUCAUUUGAAGUCAGGAGACUUUCUUACCUAUGCAAUAAAGUCCUUAACUCAAAAUGUGUUACCUACAUUUCAAAAGGCAUUUGGUUUCAACAAUGAGUUUGAUACCUUUGAAGACGUGCGUGGACUCUUUGAAGGUGGACUUUAUCUCCCCACAGAUGUAAUCAGCAAAAUUAGCCCCAUACCAGUGCUUAAGGAAAUCCUCCGCACUGAUGGUGAGCAAGUCCUCAAGUUUCCACCACCUCACGUCAUCAGAGGUAUUGUGUAUAUGCUUGUUAUUAUAUUACAUAUCUUAAGUAAAAUAAACACUGAGUGCAUGCUAAUUAAUACUUGACUUUGUUUCUGUCAUGUUUAACGUUUCUAUGUUUUCCAAAUGAUUUGGAGCAGUUACUAAGUCCGCAUGGAUGACUGAUGAAGAAUUUGGAAGAGAGAUGCUUGCUGGUGUUAAUCCUUGCCUAAUUCAACGCCUUCAAGUAAGCAGUGCUUUUAUUGUUGGUUUAGUAACUAAGAAGAAAUUUGGUUUCUAUGUUGGAUUAUAUUCAUUGAAUCAUUGUUAAUGCUGUUUAACGAAUGGUAGGAGUUCCCUCCAAAAAGCAAGCUAGAUGUUACGGUGUAUGGUGAUCAAACUAGUACAAUGACCAAAGAACACUUGGAGAUCAACCUUGGUGGACUCACUGUGGAAGAGGUGAGUGAUACAAAUAUCAUAACAAAGUGACACAUCAAUACCAAAUUAAUCAUGACACUAAAUGAUCAUGUCAUGAUUAUAUUUUUGUGCAACAGGCACUGCAUGGUAACAGAUUGUUCAUAUUAGAUCAUCAUGAUGCAUUCAUACCAUAUUUGGAAAGGAUCAAUGACCUUCCCACUGCAAAGUGUUAUGCCACAAGAACUAUCCUUUUCUUGAAAGAUGACAACACUUUGAAGCCACUAGCCAUUGAAUUAAGUUUGCCAAAUCCUGGGGGAAAGGGUGCCAAUAGUAGAGUAAUCUUGCCUGCAGAUGAAGGUGCUGAAAGCACAAUUUGGCUACUUGCAAAGGCUUAUGUUGUUGUAAAUGACUCCUGCUACCAUCAACUCAUGAGCCAUUGGUAUUAAAAAAUUUGCCUCUGUCAUCACACAAAAACUUAUCUAUUUUGAAUUUGAGAAGUGAUUUUUUAUUUGUUCGUGAUCUCAGGUUGAAUACUCAUGCCGUAAUGGAACCGUUUGUGAUAGCAACAAACAGACAUUUGAGUGUGCUCCACCCUAUUUAUAAACUUCUGUUGCCUCAUUAUCGUGACACUAUGAAUAUCAAUGCACUUGCACGACAGUCGCUUAUCAAUGCAGGUGGUGUCAUUGAGCGAUCAUUUUUGCCAGGCGAAUUCGCUGUAGAGAUGUCCUCAGCAGUUUACAAGAGUUGGGUUUUCACUGAUCAAGCCCUUCCAGCAGAUCUUAUCAAGAGGUAAUGUUUAUACACAUAGAUUGCUAUAUACAAUUUUCAAGUUAGAAUUUUCAUUUUUGAUACCAAAGUCCUUUGUAUUAUUCACCCUUGAUUCAGAGGAAUGGCAGUUGAGGAUCCAUCCUCUCCAUAUGGCCUUCGCCUUGUGGUAGAGGACUACCCUUAUGCUGUUGAUGGACUAGAAAUAUGGGAUACUAUUCAGACCUGGGUUAAAGACUAUGUCUCCUUGUACUAUCCCACAAAUGAUGCAGUUAAGAAAGACACUGAACUCCAAGCUUGGUGGAAAGAAGCUGUUGAGAAAGGUCACGGUGACUUGAAAGAUAAGCCAUGGUGGCCAAAGUUGAACACUCCUCAAGAUCUGAUUCACACUUGCUCCAUUAUUAUAUGGAUUGCUUCAGCUCUUCAUGCAGCUGUGAAUUUUGGACAAUAUCCUUACGGUGGUUUCAUCCUAAAUCGUCCAACUAUAACCAGAAGAUUGCUGCCUGAACCAGGAACCAAAGAAUAUGGUGAGCUCACCAGCAAUUAUCAAAAGGCUUAUUUGAGAACAAUUACAGGGAAGGUUGAGGCCAUUGUGGACCUUUCAGUGAUAGAGAUAUUGUCAAGACAUGCUUCUGAUGAGGUCUAUCUUGGACAGAGGGACAAUCCAAAUUGGACUAAUAACAUAAAAGCACUUCAAGCAUUUAAGAGGUUUGGACAAAAGCUGAAGGAAAUUGAAGAAAAAAUCAUGGGGAGGAACAAAGAUUCAAGUCUUAGAAACCGUAAUGGACCAGUUCAGAUGCCCUACACUGUGCUUCUUCCUACCUGUGAAGAUGAAGGCCUCACUUUUAGAGGAAUUCCCAACAGCAUCUCAAUCUAAUGAGUUUCUCUACGUGUUGUUCUCUUUGCAAUCCUACCUUUUUAAUCACAAAUAAAUAUGCAGGCUUAUCCACCUAUGCAUAACUGUCUUCUAUAUCUAUGCUUAAGUGUUGUAUGUGGAUUUUAUCUAGUUUUCGUAUUUAGUACUAUGUUAUCAUUUAGUUACUAUCAUGUUGUGAAGUUUGAUAUCCGACCUAUGAAUAUCAAAUAUAAUAUAACUGGGGUUUUCAAGUGGAGCUGUUACAUAUCAUGACUUUGAAUUGGUACCUAAAUGAGUCCCAUAAAACUUUUCUAUCCUACCAUUACAAGAAUAAGAUUAGUGUUUUUUCAUUAUUACUGCAUGAACAGUCAUGCAGGAGUACAGAUAAAUAUGUUUUGAAAAAUUGAAUUGCCCCAUAUCAAAUACAAUUUUACCUGUGCUCAGAUUACUGCUAUUUUAGAGUUGAUCUUACGUUUGGAAAAUGAUACUUUUUUUUUAUGUUUUAACGAUCUACACAUUGGCUAAUUAAUUGGUGUGUUUUUCCACCAAACAUGUUCAUCUUAAUCUUUGAGUUUAUCAUUGGAUUGAUCAUAUCUAGUGUGAGUAUAUGUGGUCAAGUCCAAUCAUGUGGUGAAACUAUUUUAAUGUCGAUCUUUAGAGUUAACGAAAAAAUCUCAUUUAUUUCUCAUUAAGACGGGUGUUAAUUAUGAAGAUUGACUAUAUAUAUAUAUAUGCGGAAUUGUAAUUAAUUUGGGAAUAUAGUUCAAAAUAAGACUAAAUACAAGGAGAAGGGAUGAAGACUUUUUUAACUCAUAUUUUACACUAUACUCAAUAUAUUUUGAUACUCUUACUGACUUAGCGAGCAUCAGAAUAUUUUCUACAAGUAGAAUCCCCUCAUUUUCUUAGAGUCAAUUCAUGAAACUUGCAAGGAUAUCAUCCGGUAACCAUCUCAGAGUUUAAUCGACCUCAGCUACUGGUUGAGAGAUAUCCAUUUUCACUAGAACAAUUAGUAUAUUUUAUUAAAUUAAAAACACCUCAUUAUUAUUAUUAUACUUUUAAAAUUAAUACUUAUUAUUAUUCCUUUAAAAUUAAUAUUUAUUAUUAUUUAAAAAUUAAUACUUAUUAUUAUUAUUACUUUAAAAUUAAUAUUUUAUUAUUAAUAUUGUUAUUGUUAUUUUUCCUUUAAGUCUUAAAAAAAUAUUUAUAAAUAAUAUAAUUAUAAUACAUUGUGUCUAAAAAAUAUUACCAUAUAAAUAUUUAGAUAUUGCAUUUUGAAUUGAAAGUGAUGAGAUAAUACAUUGAUUCACGAUUCACGAUUUAUUGGUACUGAAAACUCAACAUUGACUUAGAACUGAAAGGAGUGUACCAAUAUGAAAGGAGUGUACCAAUACAUAAGAGACUCAUAUUAAAGAAAUAUUGUUAGAAAUUCAUAAGUUUUAAUCACACAUUUAAUAGAAUAAAAAAAUUGAACAACAUAUAAAGAAAGAGAUUGACAAACAUAUUGUUUUUAAAAAAUUUAUUAACCCUAAACCCUAAACAUCUUAUUGAGUUGACAUCCUUGGUUUAGCAUGUCUCUUUCGUAUGUAUUCCUCUAAAAAAUUUAAUAAUUAUAAGAUAAUUUUUUCUAUUCAUAUAAUUUUGUUUUACAAAAAUAACUAUUUUACAUCAAUCUUAAAUAACUCCAUCUUCUCAAAAUAGUUUCUUUUCAAAGUAGUGUGUGCCUUCUCAAAUAAAUUUCCAAAUAUACUUUAUUAAUUUAAAUGUCUCCAUUUUUACUUUUCCCUUUGUUAUUCUAAAAUCAUCUGCAAACACAAAAGUGGAGUCAAACCAAAUCAUCUGUUUAAAACCAAAACUGUAACUAUAUAUUAUUUUUAGUGAAUAUAAAUUGUAAAUUGGUAUGAAGAAGCUAAAUAGGAUAUGGACUUAAGACACCAUUUUCAACCAAAAAAUUUUAAAUAAUGUUAUUUACUUACUCAUUUAUGCCCUAUGACAGUUUGAUCUGAUUUCAAGUCUUAACCAGACAAGAAACAAUGACGACAAGACACAAAGAGCUUUAAGAAAGGAGGAAGUGGGACAUGGUAGUGAUUUGGAGGGAUAAGGUUGGUGCUGUAAAACAGACACAUGUUCUGUUUAACAAAAAAAUAUUAUAGCUUAGAAGAUAUGGGUGAUGAUAGAGUAGUUGGAUGAGUGUGUGUGCGACACACUGCAUGUGACACGGUCCCACACUUUAUCUUCUGAUUUGAUUUCUGCAGUUAAAGCUGUGUGCAGCGAAUCGACUUCAUCAUCUUUUGUCGUUAUUCGUUGCCAUUUUCACACGCGCAUAAUGCAUUUCAAAGCUCCAUUGGAUAAUUCUAGAGGAAUUUCCCCACAAUUUCUUUUCCAUCAAUGUGUAAGUAAUGCUAUAUUUACUUUAACUGGCUUAAAUUAAAUAAAAAACAAUUUUUUAAAAAUAAAAAAUAAUUAAUUACUAUAUUAAAUAAAUUAAAUACUACUUUAAAAAUUCAAAAAAUUAUUAGUAUCUAAAUUAAUUUUUAUUAUUGAUAAAUAAUUUAUAAAUUUAGAUUUUAAAAUUGGUAGUUAUUCUAAUACAUAAUAAUUUCCCAUCAUUAAGGAGUCGAGAGAUCAAAAUCAUUUUAUAUAUACUUUAUCACUUAAUCCAUUGAGACACUGUUCUUAACGGACAAUACUAGAUCAGAAUGAUCGUUGAUUAAAUACUAAUUUAAAAACUAUUUAUCAGUAAUAUAAAUUAAUUUAGAUACUAAUAUUUUUUUAAUUUCUAAAAUAAUAUAUAAUUUAACUAAUAUAAUAAUUAUAAAAUGUUUUUAUUAUAUUUAUCUUACAUUAGAUAUGACUGAUAUUUACGAGACUUUAGAAUAAUUUGAUAUAAAAUAAAAUUUGAGUCUAAUUUAGCUUUAUAAAUUUGAUAUUUAAGUUGAAAUUUAUACACAUAUUUAUGUACUACAAAAAUAUCUUUAUCUACAAUGAAAUCUCCAACAAUUUAUUGUUAAAAAAUAUUAGUUUUAUUUUCAUAACUUUUAAAAGAUAAAAUUUUCAUUUCUAUUGGUGUAAAGUUAUAUAAAAUGAUUAUUUGUAUUAAAAAAAUAGUUGGUUCUGUCACUGUCAGGUUUGAAACAAAGGAAUCCCAUCGUUGGAAGUAGAGAAACCUCGAGUUCCUCAUGGGCAAUAUAAUAUUAUAUUUUAAUUAGCAAAGAAAAAAAAAAUAAUAAUCUACAUCGUGAUCUUAGGUUUGGUUGUUAAAGAAUCAAAUCAUGUUCAAACAAAGCAUGCUUCUCGAGUGAGAAAGAUAAUCAUAUUUUAUUACGAAAACAGGGAUGGUUUACGUCAACUUAUUCUUUUUUUUAUCAUUUGAUGAUUGUCAAAUAGGAAUUUUUACUACAUUUUAAACUCAAAAUCAUUUUUUUAAAACGAUCACGUAUUCAAAAUACAAUUUACUUAUUUAAAAAAGUAAAAAAAAAACUUAUUUUUAAGAAAAGUAUAUUAAAUGAACACAUAAAAAAUUGAAAGACAUAUCAUCCAAUAAUUUAUCCAUUUUCAGUUGGCUGAUAUUUAAAAAAAAUUAAGUAUAUAAAAUACGAUAUUUAUGUAUUUAAAUAUAAAAAAGAAGAAGUUUUGAAUGAUUAUCAUAUAAGAAAUUAUUAACUAUAAUGAAAAAAAAAACUGUUUAGAACCUUCUUCUGUUGUAAUGGAGUUGCAUUCAAAUUUAUUGUAAUAAGAUUUUCAGAAAGAUAACUUAUUAUUAUUCUAUAAGGAUAAAAUCCCAAAAUUUCAUCUUUUUCUAGUAGCAACUCUAUUUUUUUUUAUAAAUAUUGGGUAACCUAAAGGAUAAUGAAAGUCUAGUUUCAUGAUCUUUAGAAUUUUCUAAUAGUAAUUGAAGCAUUAUUUUACUCUAUUUAAACACAAUAGAGUUAAAUAUAAAGUGAUUUUUAUUUAUUUAUUUUUUAUUAUUGGUAAAAAAUAAUAGGAAAAACUUAAAUUUUAAAUUCUGUUACUAUUCUCAUAAUAUUAGGAAUAUGUUUCCAUAAAUUCAGGACAUAUAUUUUUUAUUAUGAUAUUAAAAAUUAAAAGUGGUACUUACUUUUUAGUUGUAAGGUUUAACAAGAAUAAUCAGCUAAUUUUUUUUUUUAUAAAAGUAAUUCUAUAGUGAAAGGGAAAGUGAAAGUGAAAGUGAAAAAGAAAAGAAAAUAAUGAGACAUAUAUUAUUUUAUUUUUUUGGUGAGUAAGUAUUAUCAUAUAUAAAAUUGUAUUUGUUUGUUUUUGAAAAAAUAUGGGCAGUAACAGUGACACAUUGAAGAUUGUCUAUACCCACAUUUUCAAUUUUGUCCACCAUUUCCCCAUACAUACACUCCUCUUAUUUAAUUUCCUAUUUAUUGGGAUUAUUAAUUAUUAAUUUGGUCUUUUAACAGAGAAUAAGACAAUUUAAAUGAUGUUUUGGAUGAAUUGAAAUAUAUUUUGUUUGUUGAAUGUGUGAUUGUUUUUUCUUAAAAUUGUAAAAUGGUGUUAUUAAACAUGAUGAUAAUGUUCAAGUGUUGUUCACCGCUUAAGCAAUAUUUAAAUGGUGUAUAAAAUAAAUUUUAUUGUUAACUAGUAGUAUUCGAUAAAAAAAAAUGUAGAUGUUAAAGGAAUAAGAAAAUAUUUUAUGUUAGAAGUCUAUAGCUAGAAUAAGAGAGAUUAAAAUAACUUGUUCAAAUGAGGUUAUUCAAGCAACUAUGUCGCCGUUCAAGCAAGAUCCAUGAUAAUGGUGCAUACAUUCACAUCACAAUGUUCAAGUGGUAUCAUGAAAACUCAAAUGUUAGUGAAACAAUGUGUUUUAUGUUAUGAACCUUAUUAGAAGAGGUCCAAUACAUAUAUUAUUCAAGCAUUGUGAGAAUGUUCAAGCGAUAAACUCUCAAGUGAAGAGAAUGUAGUUUGAGUGAAUAAAAGUCUUAACUAAAAUUACUAUCUAGAGGUAUCUCUCCUAAGUAAUAUGAAACUACUUCUUAAUGAGUAAUAUGAAUCAUUGGUGUGAGAUAUAUAUGCCUGAUACAUUCUUAGGUAGUCAUACUUUUAAUGUCAGCGAUCUAACUCCUUUUUCUGUAGGUCUCCAGAAUUCGUGGUCGAAUUCUCUCCAACUCGGGGAGUAUGAUGGAGAUCAAGCCCAAGAGAACAUGGAGGCCACUCAUCAAGCUCAAGAAGAGGUGGNNNNNNNNNNNNNNNNNNNNNNNNNNNNNNNNNNNNNNNNNNNNNNNNNNNNNNNNNNNNNNNNNNNNNNNNNNNNNNNNNNNNNNNNNNNNNNNNNNNNNNNNNNNNNNNNNNNNNNNNNNNNNNNNNNNNNNNNNNNNNNNNNNNNNNNNNNNNNNNNNNNNNNNNNNNNNNNNNNNNNNNNNNNNNNNNNNNNNNNNNNNNNNNNNNNNNNNNNNNNNNNNNNNNNNNNNNNNNNNNNNNNNNNNNNNNNNNNNNNNNNNNNNUCGAUGCAACGUACCUAAUAAUUUAAGCUUUUUCCUUUUAAUACUUAAAAAAAAAAUCCUAAAGAACUUUUAGAUGGGUUUUCCAAAGAUUAAAUCCUACAAAAAUAACAUCCCCUUAUCACCAAUUACUCAAGAUGAAUAGAAAAUAAUAAUAUAUUAUUGAUAGAAAUUGAGUCACUUGUUUAAUUAGUCUAUAUUAUUCCCUAUUUUUCCGCUUUCUCAAGUCUGAAAAAUGAUACCACACCAUAAUAGUCAUAAUUUUUUCUCAUCUUAGAGAUAGUUUAGAAAAAAAGUUUUUUAUUAAAAUAAAUAUUUAACUUUUAUUUAUACACUACCUAUUUCUUGUUAAUUUAAAAUUGCAUCUUAAAAUAAAAUUAAAGGCUUAUACAACACACUAUAACUAAUAUAUUGAACGAGUUUUGUACACUCCAAAGUUCAAUGUUUUUAGUGUUUCAAAAUAUUGCACGUGUUAUAAUAAUACGGUAGCAGACCAUGUUUAUCAUGGCAUUCAUCCACACACUUUGUAGUCACUCGAAAUUUAUUUCUAAUUAUUAUAUUUAUUUUCUCUAGGAUAUCAUUAUUUGAGUGAUUAGAUAUUUUAUGUUUACAUAGAAUUAUAUAAUAACUCAUGGUUGACUCCAGUCAUUAGUAAAAAUUAAUUGAAUUAAAGAAAAGUAUAUUAUUUUGAAAGAAUAUUUAAAUAAAAAGUUUUAAAAACAUUGAAUUUAGUAAAAGAAUUACGAAAUUCUCUUUUUAUAAAUUUUGGUGUUUGAUUUGUUAAUUUUUCCUCACUGCUAGCAAGGUUGAGCUUUUGUGAUAAAGAAUAACUCUAAAUUUUUUUUUUUUGGAGUUUGUAAUAAAUUGGGUUGUAAAUUUUUUUUAAAAGAUAAAAAUAAUUAAUAAAAUAGAGAUAUUUCAUGUAUACCACAACUUUUAUAGAAAACAACUUUAUUGCAGAGUGAAUUUUAAACCUAACUCAACUCCAUAAAAUCAGUUUAAUGAAAUGAGGUUUGCAUCCACUUAUAUACUAUGAAAGACUCUAAUCUCUAGUCGAUGUGGGAUCUCCAACAAACUUACAUCUUAGAUUCUUGCACUAUGAGAAACAUGCAACUUAGACAAACAAAAAAGUCAUUUUUACAAAUCUCUAUAAAAUUGGGAUGUGAGAUAUUAUCUUAUCUCUCUUCUUAAUUCUAAUAUAAGGGUUGAGUCAUCUUUAAAAUAUCUAUAUUUAUUUAUUAUUUUUAAUAAAAAAAAUCUGAUUUUAUACUGUAGUUGUACGUACUAUAGCUGAUUGAUAUAUAUGUGUUUUUUUUAUAUACUAUCUAUUUGAUGAUUCAUAACUCAAACUCUAUUAUUUUUCCAUAUUCUUUCCACCUCAUCAUCAUCCACGAGGGAAAACAGUGCAGGUAAGGUAAUCAUGUAUCACUAUCACCCUUACAAAUGAUCAAGGAAUGGUGAGAGGCCAUAUUGCAAUUUAGCAGAAAAAUAUCAGAAAAUUACUUCAGUAGAGAGAGGUAAUUCAGCAUUGGUUGAAAUGACUUUGUUCUUGGAACACGUGAUAUUGAUCUAUAAAUAGGGUGUUGUGGAGAGGGUAGAAGGCACAAACAAGGCACAAGGCUUUGAAGAAAGAAGAAGAGUGUGUGGUGUUGUGUUUUAUUGGCAAAGAUGUUUGGAAUCCUAGGAGGAGGAAAGGGUCACAAGAUAAAGGGAACAGUGGUGUUGAUGACCAAGAAUGUGUUGGACUUCAACGAAGUAGUGUCCACUGCUGGUGGUGGUGUGCUUGGUAUUGCUGGUGGCAUCUUUGGAACUGCAAACAAAGUAGUCGGAGGAAUAGUUGACGGCGCCACCGCCAUCUUCAGCCGCAACAUUGCCCUACAGUUGGUCAGCGCCACCAAGACUGAUGGUUUGUUUCUUCCUUCUGUUUUCUUCUGCAGUUCAAAAUAACUCUUCUGCUUCUUUCAACAUGUAGUUUAUCAAGAAACUAACAUAGACAUAAACAAUCCAACCACACUUUUUAAAACAACUUCUUAUGUUAGAUUUGAAGAACAGUAAUAAUAUAUUCACAUGUACCAGGUUAUAACUGAUUAAACUGGUGACAGUUGUUAAAGUUACACUUUAGUUUGAAGAUAAUAGUUUCUACAGUUAUUUCUCACUUCUCACUUUCAUCAUUGUUAAACUCUUGAUAAUUAUGACUGUACAAAAUUUUCAUUUCAUAAACAUUCAGUUUAAAGAGUCAUGAUCUCUAUCUGUUUUGGGUAAAUUGAAGUAGAAAAAAUAGAGAUGAACAAGAUAAUAAAAAAAGAGUUAUUUAUUUAUUUAUUUAUGGUGUAAAUCUUUCACGUACUUAAACAUGAUUGUUUAUUAUAUAUUCUCGAUUGCAUGAUUUGGAAAGAGAAUUUUAUCUUUAUUUUUAUUUGAAGUAGUUAGACAACUCCAAAAUAUAAUGAAUAGAAUAAAUGAUACGAUCCAUAAUGAACAUAAUGAUUUGUACAAAACAACAAACUUGUUUUAUUAAAAAGAAUUAUUAGAUCUGAACAUUUAAAAAAUAAAAUUGUUAGUGUUGAUAUUAAAGUAAGUUUAUAUUGAUUUAUAAUAGGAUAUAUUAUAUUAUUAUAAGGUAUUUAUAUAUUAUCAAUACUUAAAAUACUUAUUUACUGUGGACUUUCAGAAUAUAUUUUAAAAGAUGAUAUUCUUUUCAAGGAUUAGACAGUUUUUUUUAUUAGCUUUGAUUAGGGACACUAUCAUGAAGAUAUUUUUAUAAAAUGAAUUAGGAUUUUUUUUUUCUGAAAGAGCAGGGAUAGAGAAAAAAAAUAUUAAUAUUCUUUAAUUUUUUUCUUAUUUUAUAUUAUUUUUAAUUUAACUGAAUAAAAUUGACCCGGAUUGAUAUUUUUCCAUUCUAUUUAUAAUUAUAGUUGAUAUUAUAAUAAAUGUAGCACUUUUUUUUAGACAUAUAAAUACAAACAAAACUACAUUAAGUUCAUAUUUGAAAAAUAAACAUUACAAUAUAUAUAAUAAUAUUGUUUAUUAUAAUAAUUAUUUUAAAAAUGAUAUUAUAGUAUUACUUCUUAUUAAUUAGUUAAUGACAUAAACAUAUUUUAUCCUCUCUUUAUAUAUAAAUUAAAUUCUGUUUUCAAACUCUAUUAUUGUCUGUUUUAAAUUGAAAUGACAGCUUUUCCAAGACAGUGAUAACAGUGAACCUUUGUGUGGAAGAUAAUAGUUCUUUUUACGUGAACACACGAGAGCAGAUUAAGGUUUAGUUUGGAAAGAACAAGAAAAAUGGUUUUGUGGCAUUUAAACAUGUGAAGAAAAGAAGAUAAAGAAAGUGAGAAAAAGAGAGAAGAAAGAGAGGAUUUUUUUAAUAAUUCUUUUAAACUAUGAUUGUGAUUUUUUAACAAUUCAGUGAUGGAUUGUGGAUAAAAAGUAAUUGGGUAAGUAUAAAUUUUUGAAAAGCACUUUUGAAUUUGAAUGCACAAUGAGUAUGAGUUUUCUUUGUAUGUGCUUAUUUUUCAGGGCUUGGAAAUGGAAAGGUUGGAAAGCAAACGUUUUUGGAGAAUCAUCUUCCUUCGUUACCAACCUUGGGAGAUAGGCAAGAUGCAUUCAAUAUUUCUUUUGAAUGGGAUGAGAGUUUUGGAAUUCCAGGAGCAUUCUACAUCAAAAACUUUAUGCAAGCUGAGUUUUUCCUUGUGAGUCUCACUCUUGAAGACAUUCCAAAUCAUGGAACCAUUCACUUUGUGUGCAACUCCUGGGUUUACAACGCAAAAAAUUACAAAAAGGACCGUAUUUUCUUUGUCAACAAGGUAACUAACAUGAAAUUCAAGUACUAUUUUCCUAAACUUUCACAUAAUUUAGCCCAUUUUAAUGAAGAAAUUCAUCAAACAUGUUGCAGACAUAUGUUCCAAGUGAAACUCCAACUCCACUGGUUAAGUACAGAAAAGAAGAAUUGGAAAACCUAAGAGGGGAUGGAACUGGGCAGCGUAAGGUAUCUGAUAGGAUCUAUGAUUAUGAUGUGUAUAAUGAUUUGGGCAACCCAGACAAGAGUGCAGAUCUGGCUCGUCCUGUUCUUGGAGGUUCUAGUGCCUAUCCAUACCCUCGCAGAGGAAGAACUGGGAGAAAAGCAUCAAAAAGAGGUUAGGAUUUAAUUUUUCUAUUUUAGAUAAUCAAUUCCAAUGCAUGGUGAUAAAGUAAUUUGCCUCAAUGAAAUUGUACCUUGAUGUAGAGCUGUACUAUUAUAAGUUAGAUUUUUGUUUUUUGAAAGUGCAAUUACUUAUUAUUAUUAUUAUUAUCAUUAUCAUUAUGAUUGAGGAUACAAAAUUGAUUUUACUUUUAUUAACAGAUCCUAAGAGUGAGGCACCAGCCAGCGACACUUACAUUCCAAGAGAUGAAAAUUUUGGUCACUUGAAGUCAUCAGACUUUCUUACAUAUGGAAUAAAGUCCUUGGCUCAAAGUGUCUUACCUCAAUUUCAAUCUGCAUUUGGUUUAAAUGCUGAGUUUGAUAAGUUUGAUGACGUUCGUGGAUUCUUUGAAGGUGGAAUUCAUCUUCCUACAGACGUAAUAAGCAACAUUAGCCCCUUACCAGUGAUAAAGGAAAUCUUCCGCACUGAUGGUGAACAAGUCCUCAAGUUUCCACCACCUCAUGUCAUCCAAGGUAUUGUUUGCUUACAAGUCACAUAUAUAUCUCAAGUAAAAUCAACUGAAAUUACUUCACAUCCAAUAUUUAUCAUAUUUAACAUUUACAUGUUUUUCAUAUUAUUUGGAGCAGUUAGUAAGUCUGCAUGGAUGACUGAUGAAGAAUUUGGAAGAGAGAUGCUUGCUGGUGUUAAUCCUUGCCUAAUUCAACGCCUUCAAGUAAAUAAUGCUUUAUUGUUCAUUAAAUUGGAAUGAUUUGGUUUUCAUUUGAAUUAUAUUCGUUGUUUCUCAUGUUAAUUUACUGGCAAUGUUAUUUAAUGAAUGACAGGAGUUCCCUCCAAAGAGCAAGCUAGAUGCUUCUGUGUAUGGUGAUCAAACUAGCACAAUUACUAAAGAAAAUUUGGAGAUCAACCUUGGUGGACUCACUGUGGAAGAGGUGAAUGAUAUUUAUUAAUUCCAUGGCAAAAUGAUACAUGAAUCUCCAUUUAACCAUGACACUGAAUGUUUAUAAUGAUAUUUGUUCAACAGGCAUUGAAUGGUAACAAACUGUUCAUAUUAGAUCACCAUGAUGCAUUCCUACCAUAUCUGAGGAAGAUCAAUGACCUACCCACCGCAAAGUCUUAUGCCACAAGGACAAUCCUUUUCUUGAAAGAUGAUGGCACAUUGAAGCCAUUGGCUAUUGAAUUAAGUCUUCCACAUCCUAGGGGAGAUGAGUUUGGUGCUGUUAGCAGAGUUAUCUUGCCUGCAGACCAAGGCGCUGAAAGCACAAUUUGGCUAUUGGCUAAGGCUUAUGUUGUAGUAAAUGACUCUUGCUAUCAUCAACUCAUGAGCCACUGGUAUGCAUAAACUCUCCCAUUUGUCAUCACUUAUCAUAAACCAACUAUUAAGUGAUUCUUAAUUUAUUUGGUUUGCCAUAUCAUUUGAUCACAGGCUAAAUACCCAUGCCACAAUUGAGCCCUUUGUCAUAGCAACAAAUAGGCAUCUCAGUGUGCUCCACCCUAUAUACAAACUCUUGUCGCCUCACUAUCGUGACACCAUGAAUAUCAAUGGACUUGCACGACAAUCACUCAUCAAUGCAGGUGGUAUUAUUGAGCAAUCAUUUUUGCCCGGGCCAUUCUCUGUGGAGAUGUCUUCAGCAGUUUACAAAAGUUGGGUUUUCACUGAUCAGGCUCUUCCUGCUGAUCUUAUUAAGAGGUAAUAUUUAUGCAUUACUGUAAAAAUUUUCAAGUUAAAAUUGUUCAUUUAUUUCAUACCAACAUUGUGUGUCCUUUUAAUCUAUUUUCUGAAGAAACUUUAGUAAAUAUUAAAAGAUCUUGAUUUUUAUACAUUGUCAAUGUAAACCCAUUAUAAAUAACGUCAAGUAUUAUUUUAUGGUAUUGUGGUAGAAACUAACCAACUUAUCAUAAAUACAAUAUGUUAUUGGAUUAACAUAUAAAAGUCUUUUACUCUUUGUGCAUUAUGUAUAUUUUAUAUUUAAAAUGUUAAAAGCGAGUAUUGCCUUGUGGAAGUUAAAGACUGAUGAGAUAGUCAAAAUUCAUUUCAAUGAUAUUAUUUACUUAAGUAAAAUUGUUUUUUAUCUAAAAAAUGAAAGAGAAAUUUGGUGUUAACAACAAGUCCUUUGUUAUCUCCUUGAUUCAGAGGAAUGGCAAUUGAGGAUCCAUCCUCUCCACAUGGCCUUCGUCUAGUGAUUGAUGACUACCCUUAUGCUGUCGAUGGACUAGAGAUAUGGAGUGCUAUCCAGUCCUGGGUUAAAGACUAUGUCUCAUUGUACUAUGCCACAGAUGAUGCAAUUAAGAAAGACACAGAACUCCAAACUUGGUGGAAGGAAGCUGUUGAGAAGGGUCAUGGUGACUUGAAAGACAAACCAUGGUGGCCAAAGUUGAACACUCCUCAAAAUCUGAUUCACAUUUGCAGCAUUAUAAUAUGGACUGCUUCAGCUCUCCAUGCAGCUGUUAAUUUUGGACAAUACCCUUAUGGAGGUUACAUCCUAAACCGUCCAACUCUAACCAGAAGAUUGAUCCCAGAGCCAGGAACCAAAGAAUAUGAUGAGCUGAGCAGCAAUCAUCAAAAGGCUUAUCUGAGAACAAUUACAGGAAAAUAUGAGGCCAUUGUGGACCUUUCUGUGAUAGAGAUAUUGUCAAGACAUGCUUCUGAUGAGGUCUAUCUUGGACAGAGGGACAAUCCUAAUUGGACCGAUGAUACAAAGGCUCUUCAAGCCUUUCAAAAGUUUGGAAACAAACUGAAGGAAAUUGAGAAUAAGAUCUUAGGAAGGAACAACAAUUCAAGUCUCAGAAACCGUGUUGGGCCAGUUAAGAUGCCCUACACUGUGCUUCUUCCUACCAGUAAGGAAGGUCUCACUUUCAGAGGAAUCCCCAACAGCAUCUCUAUUUAAGGAGUCUACCUGUGUGGUUUAAUGUCUGUCCUACUUUAUCGCUCAAUACCAAAUAAUUAUGUUUGCUUGUCUCUGCAUAAUUGUCGGGUGUAUGCUUAAGUAAUGUAUGGGGAUCUUACAUGGUUCUCCUUUUAAUAAGAGUGGUAUCAUUUUGUGUUAAGUAUUGGGUUAUAUAAGUCUGAUAUCUCGGAUUUUGAAUAUCAAAUCAAAUUUCUCUCUGCCAUAUACAUUUUUAACAUAAACCUGUUGCAUGACUUUGAUUUGGGUAUCUAAAUUUCUACCUCAUAAAAAACAGAACAAGCUUCAUUUUUUUUUCCUUAAAUACUACUAAUAAUUAUUUUACUUUUUGAAGAAAAUAAAAAUGGAAUCAAGAAGAAGUAUUUUAAAAUAAAAGCAAAGAGAAAAAAUAAAAUAAUUGUAAUAAUAAAAAACUCUUUUCUACUUAUUGCAGUUCUGUUUCACUUUGCAUAUCCCUAGCCCGUCUCACUCUUUUCCUUUCCACACCCAUUUGCUUCUCUCCACGCACCCAUGCCACUCUUUUUUCUCACCCCAUUCUCAGUGCCACGCCGCCGCGCCGUCAACCGUUGCCAUCCAUCAUCAUCCUGCAUAUGUUUUUUAUUUUCCUCAUAUUUUUGGUUUCUUAUCACCUUUUCUCUCUCUUCAUUGAUUCAUACACUCAUAAAACAUAUUUAAAUGGCGGGUUCCACGUUUUUUUAUACAAACAAGAUAAAAUUAAAUUCAAAAUUCAAACAUAACAAAAAAAGAAUCUGAGCCCAUUCCGCAGCCCGACUUACGUUUUCUCACUGCACCCCUCCUUUACCGUCACACUCCUCUUAUUUCAAAACAAGGGAAAUCUGGGCACAUUCUGCUGGUCCAGCUACUUUUUACUUUCUGACCCCUUUGUCUACCUGCGCGACCCUCACUCAAAGCUUAACCAUAUUUACUCUAGCACGUUUUUUGUUUUUAAUUUUUAUUAAUAAAAAUUUGAAAAAUAAUAAAUAAAUUAGCAAGGGGCGACUCCUUCUUAAUUUUUUUUGUGUGAAAAUCUUAUUUUAUUUCGCAUCCCAUCGUUACCGCGAUAGAUCUUAAAACUAGGUUGUUGCCACUAUACAAUAACAAAGACACCACUAAUAAAGGUCUUAUAUCAAUCUUUGUGAAAAAGUUGUAUCGUGACACCAACAAUUUAUAUUUCUCUGUUGGUGAGAUGACCAUCACUUCGGAUGAUGUGCUAGUAUUGCUACAUCUUCCCAUUGUGGGAUAGUUUUUUUCGUAUAUGAUUUUGGAUUUUAAAUCAACUUUAUCAUUGUUGGUUGAGCUCUUUGACUUGGAGUUUGGUGAUGCUACAACAGAGUUGAGCGAGUGUUGUUGAUAUACAAACCAAAGGAUCAAGUUACCAAUCAAAAUAAAAAAAAACACGUAGAGGCAAAAUUAUAAGUAACUCAAGAUCAUACCUUCAAUUGAACCAGAGAUGACCAAACACAACAUCUUUAAAAAAGUAUUUAUUCAUAUGUCUCCAAAUCUCAACAAUAACUGCAAUCUAGAUACUUCCCCAAACAACAUUAACAGGUACAUUAAAAAGCAUUAAAAAGUUUGAAUUGGUGGAAGUGUGAAAGAGGAUCAUGAUGAUCUACCAAUGCCAACUCUAACCAAACAUAACAAUGGUUCCAAUCGAGCCAGACAAUUAAAAGUAAGAAAAAUCCCUUUAUAAAUUAACUAUUUCAUCUUGCACUCCUGCAAAAAAAAGUUGUUACUCCUCCAAAAGUCCACUUUAAUUAACAUAAGAACGUCUCCUCAAACCUACAAAACACACUGCUACAUCCUUCCUAAAGCAAGAGGUUGACUAUACAAAUUCUCUAAUAUGAAACAUUACUCCUUAACAUAUUUCAUACAUUCCAAUGAUUUCAUACACCAUUCAAAAUGAGAGAAAUCAGCAAAAAAAAAUUACAUGUAAUCCAAGUCUAGGUUUUUCUUUGUAAACCCUAAACCCAAAACAAGAAAUUAUGAGGUUUUGAAUUUGAAUUCUUUAGAUGUUUCAUGUUCAAGAAAUUGAUUAAGAUUUUUGAAGAUUUGGAUAUUGUGUUAUACUUUAACAACCCCAACUUUUAUGCUUAAAUUUAUGUGAGAUUAUAGUUAAUAAAUGAACUUGAGGUAGAUAAUUUAGUUUGCAUGUGAAAAUUUUACAAAAAUUGAGAAGUAAUGGAGUGAUUUCACGUUAACUAUGUUGAGUGGAGAUGUUUGUUGUUUCUAUGAUAAUAUUUUGAUUAUAUUGGAUAAUUUAAAUUCUUGAAAACCAGAGUUCUUGUAUGUGAAUAAGACUUUUAUAAGUUUAGAAAAAAUGGAGUUCUUAGGGUUAAACAAGUUAUUUUAUACUAUUUAAAUAUUAUUGUAUGAAAGAAUAUAAAAGAAACAAUAAAAAUAUUUGAGUCAUCGGUUUUGUUCAUGACUAAAGAAAAAUGUUACUUUUAAAUUUAUAAUCUAUAAUUUUAAUAAAGUUUAAGAAAACCAAUUUUUUUAAUAAAAUCGUAAAUUUCAAGUUCAUGAAGUUAAAUUUUUAAUUAAAUUAGUUGAUAGAGUGGUAUUUGUGAGUUAAAGUUUUAGUGUGAAGUCCUUUUAAUGAGGCACUUUUGCAAACUUCGAGUUGAAUAAGAUUAAGUUAGAUUAAAGCAUGAAAACUUUGCCUAUACUUAAUUUUAGAGAUCUAGUUAAGUUUAUGGUUUUGCAUAUUUUUGUUGAAGUGAAAUAUUUCUUAUUUAGCUUUUAUUUAGCGAAACUUUUCAAAAGAGAUAAAAGAUAAAUAUCUACUUAAAUAAAAUUUCUUUAGAAAGAAAUGAGAUUUUUUUAAGAAUUUUCCUCAACUAUAUAAAAAUUUGCUAAACGAAUUUAGAUACAACAUGAAGAAUGAAUUAUAUUUUAAAAAAACAACAGAUUAUAAUUGUGCUAAGUGGAUUUCUUAAAAAAAGUUCUUACUCUUUAUUACCUAAUAGGACUGUUCUCUUAAUUUUUUUAUUUAAUUUUAAUAUAUUUUAAUAAAAUUCAUUAUGCUUGUUAAAUUAUUGAGUGUUUAUUUAGGAUUGGUAUGUGGAUGUGAAAUCAUCGAGGUGAUUGAGGUGAGAUACUUAUUAUUAACAGAGUAAUAUUAUGAUGAUUUAAAUUUAAUUUAUAAUGUAAGUAUUAAAUUAUGAAACAUAAAUAUCUAUAUUUUUGUCUUAAAAGUAUAAUGAUAUUCAGGGAUAUAUCAUGUACGAAAAACUAAUGAAAGUUCCUACUACCUAUUUGAGCAUGAGUAGGAAUUUUGAGAAAAACAAUAUCAUGACUCAAAUUGAGAAAGUUGUUCCAAAUUAGAAUUUAUUAUCCUUAAACUAUGUUGGUUAUUAAUUCAGAUUUUAUUAUUAUUAAUUAUGAUUUUAUUACCCUUAAACUAUUUUACCGUUAUAUUCCAUUAAUUCUUAGUAGUCCAUGGUCUUACUAUUAAAAACAAGUUACAUGGCAAGUCAUCAACCUUUUUAUAAGAAAUAAAAUGAGUCAUUUUGGAAAAUCUUAAACAACCACGAGGAUAAAAUCUUUCUCCCAUUGAGUCUAUUGCAAACUUCCAUUGAAAUAUCAAGUCAAAAAUUAUUAGGAAAAGACAAAGGAAUGUACAAACCAUGUGGUUUCAUUAUUGAUUUGACCUUUUUACAAGUAAUGCAAUUUUUACAAAAUUUGUUCACAUCACAUUUCAUGUGAGGCCAUUAAUAAUGUUCAUACAAACUAUUUAAGGUAUUUUGAACCCCAAAGUGUCCCACUAACCCUCCCUCAUGUACUUCUCUAACUAAAAGAUCCUUAAUAGAACAUUUAGGCACACAAAAUCUUAUCUCUUUAAACAAAUAAUCAUUGUGCCUAAAAUAUCCAUUGGUGCUAAAAGUUUACGAGAAACAAAAGUUCCAGAAAAUUCAUAAUCAUGUGAAUAAAUUUCUUUCAAAAAUUUAAGACAAUUUUUUUGUUUGUUUAAAAAGUAGAAAUCAAAACAUGUCUUCUAGAUAAAACAUCAAGUACAAUAUUUUAUUUUCCUUUUUUUAUGCUUUAUGACAUACAAAAAUUAUUCUAAAACUUCAACUCAUUUGACAUGUCUUUUAUUUAAUUUUUGGCCUUUUAAAUAUUUUAAAGACUUAUGAUUUAUAUGAAUAAGAAAUUCUUUAUGUAAAAUAAAUAUGUCAAGUUUGUAACACUCUCACCGAGGCAUACAAUUGUUUAUCAUAAGUGGGAUAGUUUAGGGUGAUCCCUUUUAACUUCUCAUUAAAAUAAGCAAUUAAAUGACUUUAUUUCAUAAAAAAAAACCCUUAUACCCACAUUAGAUAAUGCACCACACUCAAUUUCAAAAGAUGUUGUGAAGUUUAGUAAUGCAAGAAUGUGAACAUUAGUCAAUUCAUGUUUAAGGGCAACUAAAACUUUUUCUUGUGUUUCCCUUUUGAAUGCGGGAAUAUUAAAUUUGAUCUUAUCCAAUCCCAGUUGUCUUUGUUCUCCUUCUUCUUCUUUUUUUCUCUCUUUUUAAACUUUUUUUUUUCUUUUACCCUUUGUUUUUAACUUUUUUUUUAACUUCUUUCCUUUAUCUUUAUACAUAUAAUUGAAAUUUCAUUUUAGAGUCUCACAAUCAUCACACAUAACACGCACAUGCACACACGAACCCACACACUCGCACACACACUCACACAAAUUGGAAAUUCACAGGAGACGAAUUGGAAUCAAUCAACAAUUUUAAGUUGAAAAGAAUAUCAAAUAAAUAAGGUGCCACAAAUAAGGUUUAAUAAGCCUAAUAAUGGUCAUCUAAAGAAUUAGUAAAUUCUUGAUAAUAUCAGAAGAUGCAAGGGAAUAAUCCUAACAAAGAAACUAUCACUCUUAUUUUGGCAAAAUAAUUAUUUUUUAUUCUGAAUUCUAAAAAUAUAUUUAUAGAUUUUGCUUCGUUUGUAAGUAAAUAAUGAGAUCUCACAUCACUACAAGAAAAUCACAAAAUAGAAAUUAAUAAUAAAUAGUUGCUAUAGUGACUAAAUUAGAGACCAUUUUAGAAAUUAAAAAAAAAUUGGUUUCUAAAUUAAUUUCUAUUAUUGUUAAAUAGUUUCUAAAUUGGUAAUGCAUCAUAUAUAAAUAAUGACAUUUUAUAGUAUAUAGGUGAGAGCAAACCUCACCUUAUAUUCUGAUUUUGUAAAAUUAAAUUAUACUUAUAAUCUACUUCUUAAUAAAUAAAAAUAAAAUAUAAUUUAUAUAUUUCAAAAAAAUAUAAUAUUGUCUUAAUAGUUAGAUUAAGACAUUUUGAUUCUGGAUUCAAAUUCUAACCCUAACUAAAAUAUUAAUCAGUAUUUUAGCAGUUCAAGCAUGUGUUUUUUCUAAGUCUUUUAAAUACUUCAGAUAAGAUUAUUAAAAUAAUUUGAGGAGAAGAAGAUAAGACACCAUUAUUGUCCUUGGAAGCAAAACAAGUGGAAGACAAGAGUGUAGGGGAGGGGUUGAAAACCCAAUGCCGACAUGUAUGUGGAGUAAUAGUACAAUGUCCUCUAUUCUAACACUAUUUCUCUUUCUACAUAAAAUAAAAAUAAUAAUUUUUAGACAUUUUAAAUCUCACUCAAUACUUUGUGAAAAUAAUUAAAAUUUAUAUAUUUAGAUGUAAAUAAAAACAAAAAAAAAAUUAGUAGAAAGUAUUUUAGUAUUUUACAGCAUUUUUAAAAUGGGUAUUUAAAAAUUAUUACUCUUUUGCUUAAAUAAAAUAAAUAAUUUUUUUAAGGGUUUAGUUCUUAAAUUAACUCCGUUAAAUAGAAUACAUAAUUUUUUUUGUAAACUUUAUGUUUGAUUUAUAUAAAUAAAUAAUCCUUUUAACUAUUUUUUUUUGUUUUGAAGUUAAAAACUGGUUGCGUACAGUUUGGUGAAGCUUUUGUCGUUUGUGGUUGUUCCUUUACACUCUUUUGAACGUGCAAAAUAUGUUUAAUUAGAACAGAACAUUUGGAUAAUGUUUGACCAGAAUAUUUUAAUACCUUUUUAUUUAUUUAAAAUAAACACUAAUUUUAAUGUAUAUGUUCUUCGAUGAGUCGGAAUAUUUAUAUACGCCUGUACAAAAUUAUGUUAUUCAUAAUUAACGUGAAGUCGUAACUAUAUAAAUUCUAAAAUAUUAGGAAUAAUUUAUAAUAAAAAAUUAAUUUUAGGUGAUUUUUUAAAUGUAAUUUUAAUUGAUCAAAGUUAUAUAAUUGAUGAAAUUAUUGAUGGAUUUUCAUGAUUAAUUUGUUCCAAAAUUUUACUAUUAAAUCUGGAAGCUAUUUACAUUCAAUAUAUUCGUUAACUUGGUUAAUAACAAAUAAAAAUUCAAAAUAAUUUCAAUUUAAAAAAGUUACUAUUUGGAUUUUGUAUUUGUAUACAUAAUAAAGUAGUUUGUUCACUUCAAGUCUUCUUCUUUAAUUGUUGGUGUUAGGUUGAAAGGUUGACUGAAAAAGUUACUCUGACGAUCAAGUAAUUAUUUUGUGUUAAAAGUGUAUAGUGAAAACUGAUUAAAGUGUAUCUUACACAUUUGUCUCUGUAGAGGGUUUAUUUAUAGUGUUUAAUCAUGAACUUUUGUUGUGAUGGAUUGAAUCUAUCAAAUAUUAGUGUUAAUUGAUUUCUAGCAUGAUCAUUGAUUUAUAGGGAGAUAUAUUUGUAUAUUUGGAAAAUAUAUUUAAUAAGUCAAUAUUUUCCACUAAAUCAGUGUUAGUUGGUUUUUAGGGGAUGUCACCCAAAAUCGGUGGGACAUUUUUUUUAUCGACAAAAAGGAAUGGAAUAAAUGAAGGUAUUUCAGGAUACCUCAACCUUAUACAAAAACAACGACGUCCUUCACCCUACCACUCACAUUGAGAGCUUUAAAGUGGACAACACGAGGGAAAGUUUGUCGUCUACCCAUACUCAAAUACAAAAAACAACACCUCUAACUUGAGUCAAAUCAGCUCAACUUGACCUCCCCCCUCUAACCUUUUCUAUUUUUUAUUGACCUCAUGCGUACCAAAGGUUCAAGACACCAAUCUAAGUAAGAAAAAAACAUGCUAAACGUACCUUCGAGAUGACCCAUGACCAAACCUGCAGCUGCGCCAUUGUGAAGAUUUCUAUGUGAUCCAUGCGUCCAUUCUUGAAAACCUUUGUUUCCAAAUUUCGCCUAUAACUGCUAUCCACACACAAUUCCAGAUCCGGUUAAUACCUUUGCUUUCCUCGUUCAUCCUGAAGUGAGACAAAAGUAUUUUUGAAUCCUGAUGAACCAUCGCUGUCCUGCCCACCCACUCAAAGCACUUUGCCCAAACCAACCACGCUACCCUACACGUACUAAAUAGAGAUGAAGCGUUGUUUCAAUCCUCCCCACACAUAUUACAUAUGCUACUCUCCACCGUGAUCCCCUCCGUUAGUUUUAGUCGCAAUUUUGUUUUCCAACACUCUCCAUGUUGUAACUAAGGCUGAUGUGGUUGAGCCUUAAUCUCCAUAACCCCUUGUGUAGGUCAGAACCUUCCCCCUGUAGCUCCCCUUUUAGGACUCUAUAAACAUACUAGAUUGUAAAACUUGUAUCAUCACUUUCUUUCCAGACCCACUUAUCCUCCUUAUCUUUGGUAUGCACCAGGUCAAUAAAAAAUAAGAAAGGUUAGAGGGGAGAGGUCGGUUUGACUCAAGUUAGAAGUGUUAUUUUCAUAUUUGGGUAUGGAUAAACAACAAACUUUCCUCCGUAUUUUACGUUUUAAAGCUUUCAAUGUGAGUGGUAGACUGAAAAAUAUCGUUAUUUAUUCUAUUUUUUUAUCACUAAAAAAAUACAUAAUCACAUAUUAAUAUCAUCCAUCAAUCACCUAAAUUGAAUAAUUGGCUCGUGCAAUUCCGAAGUACAGAUCUAAAUAACAUUUUGAACAAUGUGUGAAUUGUUUUUGGAACUAGAUUUAUCUGCAACAUGUAACUUUUUGGAACACACAAAAAAACAAGAUAUACAAUACAAUAAUUGAAUAUGAUCAGAAACUCUUAUAUCACAUCCAUUACAUCAUCAAUCAUACACAUUUUUUUAACAAUGAUUACAAUAUUUCUCACUUCGCUAAAGACAUCACACAUAAAUGUAUACAAAAAUCAAGAUUUGUCGAUUUUUUAAGAUAUUUAUUGAGUUAGUCUGUUUGAGAUUAACACUUCAUGUAUGAUUAGAGUUUAUUGAACAUAAAUAAUUAUUUAUAUACAAUAACGAUAUCUUUUUUGCAUAGACUUUAAAAAAAAUGUUGUGUAAGAAUUUUUAUCAAUUUUCAACACCUAAAACAUUUAUUUACGUACAUGAUUUUUAGUUAUCAAUAAAACUUGAAUGUUUUAUUUUUAUACUAAUUUCUUAAUUUAAUACUCAUGUUAUAUUCAAACUAAUGACAAUAUUAUAUAAUAUUAUAUAUAAGGUUGAAAGUGUUGAUUAUUAAUUCAGAUUUUAUUAUUAUUAAUUUAAAUUUUAUUACUUUUAAACUAUUUUGACUCCUAUUAUUACAUUAAUGAUCAAUUUUCAUAGUAUUUCUAUUUUAUAGUUUUCAAGUAAUUAUAAUUUUAUAAUAUAUACUGUUGAAGUAAAUUAAAAUGAAUAAGAUCUAGUCGGCAGUUUUGCAAUGUGCAAUUACCUUCAAUUAGUUUAUACAACUUUUUUUUUUUCAAUUAGUUUCUACAGAAAUUGUCACGUUUAAUUAAUUAAUUUAUUUAUUGUUAGUAGGGAUCUCUGUUAUGCUGGAUUUUUGUUUUGAAGUGAUAUUUUCUGUAAUGAGCAAACAACAACGUGUAGGCGAAGCAGAAUGUGGAUAUAGUUUCAGUAUUUUAGGCAUAUGAUAAUUUGGGAUAUUUUAACCCUUUACAUACAUUAUCUUGUUCUUCUUAGAAAUCAAAAAGUCAAAUGAUAGUCUAAGAAUUUUUGUUUCAUAAAACUCUAAAAUCCUUCGUAAGUAUUUGAGACAAAAAUAGCAGUACUUAAAACAACUUAGUACUUUCCAAAUGAUUAUGGAUUAAUUUUUAAUUAUUUUUUUUUCAAAUUAAGAUAGAAACAUUUGAUACUUGUAUAAUCGAAUUAAGCAUAAUUGAUUAUAUUAAAAAAAAUAGCUUUUCAGAAUCGAUUAUUAUAUGAAAUAAUUAAUUAUGUGUUAAUAAAAUGAGAUCUAGUUUUAGUUCAGAAUUACGAGCUUAACAUAACUAACUAUAUGUUCAUAAAAAAUAACUUUUAAUGUAAAUUUGAUUAAAACUUUUUAAAGAUUGAUUUAAAUUUUAUAUUUAUUUAAAUUAAAAGAACACCAAAUAAUGAAUGUACGUCUAUUCAUUAACUAGGUGUACAUUUAUCAUCAAAUCAUCAACACCCUAUCAAUAAUAAAUAAUGUAUUACAUAAGUAAAGGGAUAACAAUUUCCAUCUACAAAUAAGAAAAAUAGUACUAGUCAUUCAUGUUACAACCAUGUGCUUAAUUGAUAGUAGAAUACAUUUCUACCAAAUAUUUCAUAAUUACUUACUAAACCCUUCCUACACAAAUCUUCUAUUUAUUUUUAUGUUUUAAAGCUUUGGUUCUUUUAGAUUUCUAAAAUGUAUUAUAGAAGAUAAAAAAAAUUCUAACAAGUAUUUGUGCAUUUUUUUUUUCAAUUACACAGUAGUAAAUAAAACUAUUUUUUACAGGAGUAUUACUAACUUUUAUAUUUACCAAUACUUAUAAUGAAGUAAUGCUAUCUCUUAUCUUUAGAAAUUUAUUUCUUAUAUAUGAGAUAAAGAUAACAUAUUUUUAUGAUGCUUUUUAUAAAUUAAUAUUUGUUUAGUGAUAAAAUAUUUUAUAAUAUUUAUGAUUAUAAUUUUUAAAUUUAUUUAUUUAUAGAUAAAUGAUUUUUAUUAUUAGAUUUUAUUCUCAUAUUAGAUAUUCUAUUAUUAUUCUUAUAUUAUAUGUAAAUAUUCUCAACUAAGUUUAAAGUAAAAUAAAUUAAAUGCAUUUACAUUCAUUAUGCUGAAUAAUGUAAUUUUCAAAAUAUUUUGAAAUGUAUGGUUAGAUUAAUAUAAUAAAUAAAUAGUAUAGUAAAAAGAGAGAAAAAACUGAUUUAACUUUACUUUAUGUAAAACGAGUAGUAAUGACAUUUAAUAAUGUUUUAAUAUUAAAAAUAAAAUAAAUAUAAAAAGUUAAAAAUUACCAUUUUAAAUAAUAUCACUUGAAAUAGUAUUUUUUUUAAAGAAAUUAUAAACUACUUAAAAAAUAUUUUUCAAACUUAUUAAAAAAGUCAAUGUAAGUUUUAUAAUUUAAAAACUAAAAUCUAGUUAGAAAUGUUUGGAAAACAUCCACUUAACAUGUAUGUAAUAUAAGUCAUUGUGUACAAUCUUCAUAAUUAGGAUGUUUUUGGGUUUUUACCAAUUUUUUUUUAUCAACAAAGAAUAAAUAAAAUAAAAAGAGAUAAGAGACUUUUUAGCAAUUUAAUCAAUAACUAAAUACAAGUGCAUUUAAUUUAGUGUUUACAAAACCUAAAAAGUUGACUAAACUGUUCAAACUUAAAAUGAAUUAUUCAACACGAAACUAAACAUAAGAAUAUAUAUUUAUCUAAAAUAUUUAACUGUAAUAUUUUUAGUAUCAAUGCAUACUACUCCAACUCCUCCACUACUAUCUGGUAUUUAUUUAACAGUAAAAAAAAACUUAAACUCUAAACUUAAAAAAGAAAAUACUUAAAGAGUGAUUUUGAAUAACCUAUCGUGAAACCAAACACCUACUGCAAAUAAAUAUUUUUUUUAACAUUGUAUUUUUUAUCAACAAUAAAAAAAAAUAAGAAUAAUUUUAGAAAUGAUCCAACUAUUAUAAAAAAAUCACAUAGAAACAAACACUUUUCUUCAAAAAUUUGUUACUAACUUUCUAUUAAAGAUGAAAACAAAUAAAUCAGAUUAAUACCUUAUUCCAAUGUUUUAAAAUAAAAGUCCUAGAAAUUCAAAAUCUCUUAAUAAAAAACACACAUUUCAAAGAAUAAGACAUUGAAUAACAUGUUUUUCUUAUUCAGAUUAAUGUUUAAAACCAAAACCAUUGGUUUGUAUUAGGUCAAUAAAAAAGGAAUAGUUUAAAGAGAGAGGUUGAGUUGAGCAAGAGUGUUCCAGAUUAGAGAUAAUGUUUUUUAGAUGUGGAGCUUGCAUCUCUCGUGUUGUCUACUUUAAAGUUCACUAUGCGAAUAAUAAACUAAAGGAUGUCGUUGUCUUUAUACAAGAGUGGAUGUGUCCCUAAACUAUCUUGAUUUUUAUUCAUUCUAUUUUUACCAAUAAAAAAUUGAACAAGAAAAACAAGUAAAUAUCCCACCAAAGGCAUAGCUUAAGUUGAGCAAAAGAGACUUUGUUCAAUAGACCGCUGUCUAAAAGUUUAAAACCUAUGUCAGAUUUAACUUUUUCUUUUAGAUACAAAGCAUUUUAACUUUCCUCUGAACAGUGCAUGUGGUUUAUUUUCUACAUCUUAUAUUAUCAUAUCUGUCAUUUUUUGUUUUUAUGUUAAAUCAUUGUCCUUUCUUGUCAUUUACCCUGAAUUUUUGUGAGUGUUUUGUCACCCUCCAUUCGUCUUUUUAUGCAUUUUCAGAAGUUGUCCUCAACAAAAAACUGAGCACAUUAUUACUCAUAGCAGAAAAUUAUGGUGGAACUUGCUACUUAUCUAUAAAUAGCCUCUUUGCAGGCACAAGGGUCUCCCACAGCAUCUGUAGAAAGAAGAGUGUGCUGUGUUGGAGCAGUCAUGUUUAAGGGCAAUACCUCAAAGGUUCACCAAGUGAAGGGGACAGUGGUUUUGAUGAGCAAGAAUGCAUUGGACUUCAACAAAGAUGGUGCCACUGCCAUCUUCAGCCCUGACUUUUCCAUAAAGCUUAUCAGUUCUAACAGGGUUGAUGGUUUGUUUCUUCCUUUUCUCAUAUAAACCAUGCAAAAUAUAACAUACACAUACAUAUAUCUUUAUUAAACAUUCCAUUAAUAUUUAUAGUUUUUCCUUUUAUCUGUCUUCAUUGGGGAGUGAAAAAACAAUUCAUUCAUCAUCCUCCUACAUCAUUAAAAAAAAAAACACAAAAACUAAUUUUAAAUACUAAAUUAGAAACCAUUUUAAUACUAAAACAAUUUUUAAUUUAUAAAUUAAUUUUUAUUAUUAUUAGAUAGUUUCUAAAUUGAUAUCUAAUUAGAUUUUUUUUACCAAAUAUGAUGUAAAUUUAAAAAUUAUUUAACAAUAAUAAAAAUUAAUUAGAAACCAAAAAUUAUUUUAAUAUUGAAAAUGAUCUCAAAUUUAGUUAUAGAAUAAUUAAUUAUUUUAAUUAUUUUUUAUGUAUAAAAUUGAUUUCUAUUUAAUCUUAUGAUUGACUAAUGAUCUCCAUCUAUCCUUUUUUUAAAUCUAAGUCAUGCUUCCAAUAAUCAGUACUAUUUCAUAUUUUAUGAGACUUUUUAUAUGUUUUCUUUAUAAAAUAUUGCAAGAAAUCAGUUUUCUUGUGAAUUUUUCUAUGGAUUUUGUACAGUCUGAAAAAAAUAUGUGCAUGAACUUUUUUAUGAAAUAUGAAAAAUUGUAGUUGUCAAUAUUUAAUUGAUAAAAAAUAAUCUAACAGUAUUUUGCAUAGUUAAAUCUUUCUUAAUUUUAAAAAAAUAUGGUAUUAAAAUUUCUUUUACAAGUUUUCUUUUUGAUUUUUAUGAAAAUGUAUUUUCUAUUUUGAAAAUAUAUUUUUUUAUAGAUUAUUUGAAUAUCCCAUAUUAGAAAUAAUUAAUGGAUGUAUUACAUUUGAAUUUUAACAAAUGGAGUAAGAUGAAUUGAAAAUUUUAAUUAAUAACAAAAUUAAUGAAUUUUUUUAUCCAAUACAUUAUGAUUUGAAAUAAAAUUUAUCUAACUCAUUAUGUUUGACCCCUUAAUUAAUCACAGUACAUGAGUUUCCACAUUUAUAGCUCUUUCACUUCUCUAGUUUUUUUUUUUCUUCUAAGAUUAUGUUGGAUUUGUUAAAAACAUAUGGGACUGUACAAAACAAAAUUUCUGAUGUUUGCUUUGAAAUAAAUUAAGUGAAGAACAUAAAAGUGUGAAGCUAAUUUCUAUUUGAGCAUUAUUCUUGCUAGGUAUUUUUAAUCGGUUUCCACUUAUGAUAAAAAAAUUCUAGUAUUAGUAUUCUGUCAUUUUAGUGGAUUUGGGGAGAAAAUAUCAAGAAAGAAAAGUAUUUAUGUGAUCGAGAGAAGGUCAGAGAUUUGUAAGUAUUGUGUGUAAAUAAUGAUUUUGCCUCAAUUAUUUAUUUGUUUUUCUUUAUUUUUUAAAUUAUCACUGUCCAUUAAUAAAUAAUUAUUUUUCAUUUUUUCAAUUAAAUUUUCUAAUAAAUAUACACCAAAGAAAAAAAUUACUUCAUAAAAAAUAUUUAACAGGUAGCAAAAUACUAAUAAUUUUGAUUUAAUAUAUUAUUUAUUUUUUAUUAUUUUGCUUUAAUGAAACUAAAUUUAUACAAAUGUGUAUAUGUAAGUAAUUGUUGUUGUUAAAGAGUUUGAUUAGAAAUAAUAAGUUCAAAAUUAUAGAAUAUAAGUAGAUGGAAAUUUCAUCUCACAAUUUGUUAGAUUAAAUUAAAUAAAAACUAAUUUUAUAGACAAAAAAUAAUUAAUUGCUAUCGACUAAAUUAGAAACCAUUUUAAAAACCUAAAAAAUUAUUAGUUUCUAAAUUAGUUUAUAUUAUUGAUAGUUUAUAAAUUGAUAUAUAAUUUAGUCAAUAUAACAACUAAUUAUUUUUAGUGGUUAAAAUUGGUUUUUAUUGAAUAAUUUUCUUAGUUUAGAUAAAUAAUAUGUUAUGGAGAUUAAAAAAAUGUCUUAUUUGAGUUUGAUAAUAUUCUUUAUUUAGGGCAUAAGAAUGGGAAGGUUGGAAAGGAAACCUCUCGGGACAAAAAUCAACCUGCUUCUUCGUUACCAACCUUGGGAGAGGGAAAAACUGCAUUCAAUAUUUCUUUUAAAUUGGAUGAAAGUUUUGGAAUUCCAGGAGCAUUCUACAUCAAAAAUUUAAAGCAACCUGAGUUUUUCCUUGUGACUCUCACUCUUGACAUUCCAGAUCAUGGAACCAUUCACUUUGUUUGCAACUCAUGGGUUUACAAAGCACAGAAGGAUCGUAUUUUCUUUGCAAACAAGGUAACUAAGUUGUGCACCUAUCAAGCAAUAUAUGAAUCUGGUUUUUGUACUCACUAGGAAAAUCUAUAAACUGCAUAAUCUUGUUUCUUUUAUGUAUACAUUGGUUUGGUAAGCUGCAGUUUGACCUAGCUAUAUGAAUUAAGGGGCUAAAAAAAAAAACAUUAGGUAUGGAGAGCUAUCUCAACUCAUACACAUCACCAUAAAUUAAUCCGAAUUUGUUUGUAUAAACUUGUAACACCUUUAAGGUACUUAAUGAUCUAAUAUAUGAAAUUUAAACCCUAUAGUUUAUAAACUUCACAAAAUUCAUCCCUAUUGUCUAAAUGAAGAAAUUCAUUGAACAUGUUUCAGACGUAUCUUCCAGAUACAACUCCAACUGCUUUUAAAAAGUACAGAGAAGAUGAAUUGAAAAGUCUGAGAGGAGAGGGAAAAGAAAAAGGAAAGCGCCAAGAACAUGAAAGGAUUUAUGAUUAUGAUGUGUAUAAUGAUUUGGGCAACCCAGACAAGAGUGAUGAUCUAGCUCGUCCUGUUCUUGGAGAUUCUAGUGCCUAUCCAUACCCUCGCAGGGGAAGAACUGGAAGAGACAAAACAAAAAAAGGUUAGGGAUUAUUUUUCACUUUAAAAAAAUUAUUUCCAAAUUAAUUUGUCGAGAAUCUAUGUAUUGUCUCUGAUAUUCUUAUUUAACUUGAAUAGAAUUGUUUGUAUGAAAGAUGCACCUAGCUUCACAAAAACAAUGUCAAUAUUCUGUCAUUAUGUGUGGUUAUGUUAUUACUAAUUUGAUCUCUUUUAGAUAUAAUGAGGAUGUUCAAUAUGUUUUUGGAAAUAUAGAGAUGCUAUUUUUGUUAUUAGUAAGAAAAAAAAUUACAAUGAUUAGAAUUAAAGAAAGUAUAUGUAGUAUAGCAAAAGGUUAUAAACACAAACCUGCUAGUAGGUAUGUUUUUUUUAUUAAACACAAUUGAUUUGUAUUAGGUUUACUAGGGGUUUAUUUUGUUAUUUGAAAGAUGAUGUCGUUUUUGUUUUAUUGAGCUAAUUGUUAGGUAUUAAGGAUGUAUAAGGAUUGAAUCAUCCUCUAUUCUAUAUUUUUUUUUUGUCGAUAAAAAAAAACUCUCUUAAUGUAACUCUUGUGACACUAAUGUCACUACAAGAAAAUCAUGAAAUAGAAACCAAUUUUUAGAGACCAAAAUAAUUAGUUGCAAUAGUAACUAAAUUAGAGACCAUUUUAGAAACUAAACAAAAUUUUGGUUUCUAAAUUAGUUUCUAUUAUUGUUAAAUAGUUUCUAAAUUGGUAUUUAAUUAGCAACCAAGGUUUUAGAAACUAAAUAAUUGGUAGUUAAAACCUUGGUUAUUGCUAAUUUGAUACCAAUUUAGAGAUUAUUUAACAAUAAUAUAAACUAAUUUAGAAACUAUUUUUUUUUAGUUUCUAAAAUGGUCUCUAAUUUAGUUACUGUUGCAAAAUUGGUUUCUAUUUCAUGAUUUUUUUAUUGUAGUGUGUAGAGUUAGCUCAAGAGGAUAAAGGAAGGAAUAAUAGAGUAAAAAAAAAAACUCUUAAAACACUUAAAGACAAAAUAUCAUUUAGUUACUAUAGUGACUACAUUGGAAACCAUUUUAGAAACUAAAAAAAAAUGGUUUCUAAAUUAAUUUAUAUUAUUGUUAAAUAGUUUCUAAAUUGAUAUUUAAUUAGUUAUCAAAGUUUUAACUACCAAUUAUUUAAAUUAUAAAUUUGGUAGUAAAAACCUUAGUUGCUAGUUAGAUACCAAUCUAUAAACAAAUUAACAAUAAUAUAAACUAAUUUAGAAACCAAAUUUUUUUUUAGUCUCUAAAAUGAUCUCUAAUCUAGUCACUAUACCAACUAAUUAUUUUUUGUCUUUAAAAUUGAUUUUUAUUUCAUGAUUUUCUUCCCAUAAUUUAAUAGAGUGUUUAAGAUAAGACAGUUUCAAGUAGAUGGUCUUCUGUAUUUUUCAAUAAACUAUCACAAUCUAGAGCCAAUACAUCACAACAUUGAAAUGUCGUUACUUCUAAUUGUUAUUGUUAAUGAUACAAUAUUAAUUUUUAUUUAUCUCCAUUUCUAACAGACCCUAAGAGUGAGACACCAGCCAGCGGCGACACUUACAUUCCAAGAGAUGAAAAAAUUGGUCACUUGAAGUCAUCAGACUUUCUUACAAAUGGAAUAAAGUCCUUGGCUCAAAAUGUCUUACCUCAAUUUCAAUCUGCAAUUGCUUUAGAUCCUGAGUUUGAUAACUUUAAUGACGUUCGUGGACUCUUCAAAGAUGGACUUCCUCUUCUUACAGACGCAAUCAGAACAAUUAGCCAAACACCAGUGAUAAAGGAAAUCUUCCAGAUUGAUGGUGAAAAAGUCAAGUUUCCACCACCUCAUGUCAUCCAAAGUAUUGUCUAUUUAUAUGUCACACCUAUAUAUAUAUAAAGUAAAAUAAGCUACUAGUGAUUGGCAUGGCAACAAGUAUUUUUUAUAUUUAACAUAUCUAGUUGUUUUCCAUAAAAUUUGGAGCAGAUGGUGAG